This is a long non-coding RNA of Myxocyprinus asiaticus (Chinese sucker), 265 nucleotides long. RefSeq lists it as uncharacterized. NCBI's taxonomy places the organism in Eukaryota, Metazoa, Chordata, Actinopteri, Cypriniformes, Catostomidae. The transcript is spliced from 3 exons. The record is from RefSeq and is a predicted model, not a curated record.
CUUGCUGUCGAGUUGAUUGUCAACACUGCCGCUAUCGCCAUUGAGAAAGAGAUCCUUAUGGAUUUAAAAACACGAGAUGUUCUGCAUGACCAUGUGAUUGCUUAAUUUAUUAUACAGGAAAGGAGGACUGAUUUUCACUUCGAGCAAAUUGACAGCUGUCUUGGAUUCUUUGGUGAAUAUUUUCAACCCACUGGUUCCGCAGGCAGCAUAUGUUCAUGAGACAGCGAUGCAUGUGUUUCAAAACAUAUGAAAAGCUGAGGCCUGA